UACGGGGGGGGCAAGCGUUGUUCGGAAUUACUGGGCGUAAAGGGCUCGUAGGUGGCCAACUAAGUCAGACGUGAAAUCCCUCGGCUUAACCGGGGAACUGCGUCUGAUACUGGAUGGCUCGAGUUCGGGAGAGGGAUGCGGAAUUCCAGGUGUAGCGGUGAAAUGCGUAGAUAUCUGGAGGAACACCGGUGGCGAAGGCGGCAUCCUGGACCGACACUGACACUGAGGAGCGAAAGCGUGGGGAGCAAACAGG
RNAcentral lists this ribosomal RNA (253 nucleotides) under uncultured bacterium. RNAcentral describes it as "partial 16S ribosomal RNA". It matches the Rfam family "Bacterial small subunit ribosomal RNA", at positions 524 to 776 of the family's 1533-position model. The record is from RNAcentral.